This 331-nucleotide unclassified non-coding RNA is filed under the name soil metagenome. RNAcentral describes it as "partial contains 5.8S ribosomal RNA, internal transcribed spacer 2, and large subunit ribosomal RNA". The stretch from base 1 to 120 matches the Rfam family "5.8S ribosomal RNA", at positions 35 to 154 of the family's 154-position model. The record is from RNAcentral.
GAUGAAGAACGUAGUGAAAUGCGAUAAGUAGUGUGAAUUGCAGAAUUCAGUGAAUCAUCGAAUCUUUGAACGCACAUUGCGCCCUUUGGUAUUCCUUAGGGCAUGCCUGUUCGAGCGUCAUUUAAACCUUCAAGCUCAGCUUGGUGUUGGGUGACUGUCCGCUUCACCGCGGACUCGCCUCAAAAUUAUUGGCGGCCGGUACAUUGGCUUCGAGCGCAGCAGAAACGCGAACUCGGGCCCGUCGUAUUGGCUCCCAGAAGCUAUCUUCACAAUUUUGACCUCGGAUCAGGUAGGGAUACCCGCUGAACUUAAGCAUAUCAAAAGCGGAGGA